This 301-nucleotide ribosomal RNA is filed under the name uncultured bacterium. RNAcentral's name for it is "partial 16S ribosomal RNA". It matches the Rfam family "Bacterial small subunit ribosomal RNA", at positions 509 to 807 of the family's 1533-position model. The record is from RNAcentral.
CAGUCGCCGCGGGAAUACGAAGGGGGCUAGCGUUGCUCGGAAUUACUGGGCGUAAAGGGAGCGUAGGCGGACAUUUAAGUCAGGGGUGAAAUCCCAGAGCUCAACUCUGGAACUGCCUUUGAUACUGGGUGUCUUGAGUGUGAUAGAGGUAUGUGGAACUCCGAGUGUAGAGGUGAAAUUCGUAGAUAUUCGGAAGAACACCAGUGGCGAAGGCGACAUACUGGAUCAUUACUGACGCUGAGGUACGAAAGCAUGGGGAGCAAACAGGAUUAGAUACCCCGGUAGUCCCUGUCUCUUAUAC